Long non-coding RNA from Mauremys mutica (yellowpond turtle), 295 nucleotides. RefSeq lists it as uncharacterized. The record is from RefSeq and is a predicted model, not a curated record. The transcript is spliced from 3 exons. Lineage: Eukaryota; Metazoa; Chordata; Testudines; Geoemydidae.
GUGCCCUGUGCCACAUACAGUGGUAGGAGCUCAGGGGCUAUUUUGUCCAGUGGGGAACUAUGGACUGAUGAGACACAGCCAUCAUCACCUUGGAGGCCAGAAACACAAAUUAAAGAAAAUAUUCUGCAAAAUGUUUCUUAUGCAGAUGCAAAUUUCUCUCCAGAUCCUAGAAGUAGCCAGCCCAAUCUUGUCAGGAACUAAGUGCCUACAACUCCUAAUGAAGUCAACAGUGGAUGAGGGAGCUCAGUCAGCACCUUGCAGGACUGGACCUAAAUCAUCCAUGCUUUUCAUAGAC